GACGAACGCUGGCGGCGUGCCUAAUACAUGCAAGUAGAACGCUGAAGGAGGAGCUUGCUCUUCUGGAUGAGUUGCGAACGGGUGAGUAACGCGUAGGUAACCUGCCUGUUAGCGGGGGAUAACUAUUGGAAACGAUAGCUAUUACCGCAUAACAUUUGAUGUUGCAUGACAUUUACUUAAAAGGUGCAAUUGUAUUACUACUAGAUGGACCUUCCUUGUAUUAGCUAGUUGGUGGGGUAACGGCUCACCAAGGCGACGAUACAUAGCCGACCUCAUAGGGGGAUCGGCCAAACUGGGAACGAGACACGGCCCAGAAUCCUACGGGAGGGAACAGGAAGGAAUCUUCGGGAAAGGACGGAAGUCUGACCGAGGAACGCCGGGUGAGUGAAGGAGGUUUUCGGAUCGUAAAGAUCUGUUGUAAAGGAAGGAAGAAUGGGGGAGUGAAAAGUUCACACUGUGACGGUAUCUUACCAGAAAGGGACGGCUAACUACGUG
RNAcentral lists this ribosomal RNA (495 nucleotides) under uncultured bacterium. Its description in RNAcentral is "partial 16S ribosomal RNA". It matches the Rfam family "Bacterial small subunit ribosomal RNA", at positions 28 to 507 of the family's 1533-position model. The record is from RNAcentral.